Molecule: long non-coding RNA, 2938 nt
Organism: Diachasmimorpha longicaudata
Lineage: Eukaryota; Metazoa; Arthropoda; Insecta; Hymenoptera; Braconidae
Exons: 3
Source: RefSeq, a predicted model, not a curated record
GGAGGGACCAGGAUAGAAUGAAGCUUGAUAUCAUUGUCGAAUCCGCGACUGAUUCACACUCAUACGUAGAACACAUGGGGCCUCCAUGGUGCAGCUAAACCCGACCCAUCGAACAAAAACCCGAGGGGAUCAUGGAGGGGUGCAUCAACGGAUGACGAAUGACGAGUGCAGUGGAGGAAAACGUUUUCCGAGGGAGAUCGCCUCUGGAAAAUUCGUUGGGUAUCAAUUUUCAGGAGCGUGAGACUGAAGGCGAUUUAGGGGGGAAUGAUGGAAUUCAAAUUUAUGGUCAUCAGUCAGGUAUCCAGACAUUUGUGAAUUUCCAAUAACGGAAUAAGUUGAGCGUUCAAUGGAAGUGAAAUGGGUUAAAAAUUUUCAGGAAGUGUACCGGAAAAUUCAGACGAAAAGUUUCAACAGUGAAGAGGAGUCUACACACCGAGAACUAUUCAACUAAAAUUAUCUAAACGGUUAAGUAAUUCUGAAGCAGUGGAUCAUUCACAGAAAAAUUGUCGAAUGAAUUCAAAUUUUUUAUGACAUUAGAAAAAGACUUCGAUACCCUCCGAAAAAAUUAAUUGUCUAAAUAAUUAAAGUGAUAGUGUACUCCAUUAUUGCCAAAUCGUUUGGACACUUUUAUUGAAUUUUUCUCUCCCUAUAUUGAUUAAGAAAUAUUACGGAAAUGGAAAUUUUGCAGAAUAUGAUUUAAGUGGAAAGUCAGUCAAAUCUGUGAUUUUUUUUAACGUUCCUUUGUAGAGACAGAAAAUACCAAAAUUUAUAUGAAUUUCAAUUGUAACUAAUAAUCAUUUCAUGAACUUAAAAAUUGAAAAAUUCUUUGGAUGGACUCAAUGUUUCGUGUUUAAAAUACUUGAUGAGCGUGAAGGCAAAUGAUUGCUAAGUGUUUUUUAUAUAAUAAUACGAGUUAACGAAAAAAUCUAAUAGAAACAGAGAAGUAUUUCAGCCCAAUGAAGGCGAUUAUCUUUAUUAUAUAAUGAAUUUAGAAGUGAAAAUAGAUAUUCAGUGGGAAAUUUUCCUGAAUUUUUCGAAAAUUUCUCCAAAAGUCGUGGACGUCCGAGGAGUUUAAAAGGAGCAAAAAUUAUUUACGAAAGAAAGAACUACCCAAAGUCCUUAGAUAGUCUUAAAUAGCGAAAUUAUUGUUAUGAUAUUUUUUGUAGCCCUCAAUUUUCUCCGCAAAAAAGGUAAUGGCUAAUAUUUUGCUAUCUUUGGUAUUUAACUCAAAAAAACCAAGUAAACUUGAACCGUUUGACUAUUUCUGUUUUACGGUUUCGCUAUCGUAAUUUUCAUAUUUCAAAAAAAAGAAUGUCCUUUACUUCCGCAGUAAAGUAAAAAAACAUUUUUUUACGUCCUCAACUACACAACCGAACCCACUUUUUCAAAAAAAUUUCCGAGGUUUUCUGAGGUUAUAUCAAAGAAAUUCGACGAUCAGCGUUGAAGUUUAUUAAUAAACAUCAGAAGCUACGCAUGUGCCUCUGAACUCCUUGAAAUCGUGAUAGAGUACUUGAGAAGUGGGAUAACGUUAAUACAUAGUGAAGUAAAUGGAAAAUGUUCUUCAUUUAAUUGCAAAAAUUCCUCAAAAAUUUUAUGGUGGCUCUGGGCUCCCCUGAAUUUUCCAUUUCGAAUUGAUGACCCCUAAGUUAACGAUCCGUUGAGUCACUUCUUUUUUUGUGUGAGACCUUUCCCCCUCAAUAUUCAUUGUACAUUGUCAACAUAAUUUGUUCCUAAAAAUUACGAAUAACAAUCCCUUUAUGAACAAUCAAGAUCAAAAAUUAUUUUUAAAAAAUAUUCAUUUACUUGAGGGCACCAUUAAUUUUUUCAAAAUGAUAUUUCUUUAAUUAAGUAAUUAUACAGCUUGGAUUCAAUAAUUCCCAAGACUGCCUGAUUAGGUUGCAAUUACGACAAUCUUCUUGCUCUUGAGGACGACUAUGUUACACAGAACCUUAAAUGAACUUCGUUAAUGAGUUUUUUUUUUGAAGUUUCUGAUUUUCCAGAAGGAAAAAAAUUUACGGAAUUUUUCAAUGUUCACAAUUAUUUAAAGAGUUCACCCAGGAUUACCACUAAUAUAAUCACCUUCUAGAACAACAUGCUUGACAUAUUUCAAACCUAAUCAGCAUCGCCUAAUGAUGACUUCACUCAACAUGCCACAUUAAAAAAAUAAAAACCUCUCUGAAGUAAAUGGACAUUUGGCAAAAAUAGUUUUCUUAGUGUUGACUCUCUUGGUUUUUCCAUUUUGAACUGGUCACCCCUGAAUGAUGAGAGGUUACGACCCGUUGAGUCACUUGUUUUUUUUGUGAGACCCUAAUCCCCAAUAUUCCUUGUAAAAUCACAAAUAACAACCCCUUUAUUAAUAAUCGAGAUAAAAAACUAUUUUUUCCAAAUAUUCAUUUACUUGAAAGAACCAUUUAUUUUCUUAGAAUUAUAUUCCUUUGAUUGAGUAAUCCCUAGGACGGCCUGAUUGGGUCUUAAUUACGACAAUCUUUUUGCUCUUGGCGAUGGCUAUGGUACACAAAAUCUUAAAUGAACUUCGUUCAUAACUUUUCUUUUUUCGAAAUUUCUGAUUUUCCAGAGGGAAAAAAUUCGCACAAUUUUUUCAAUGUUCACAAUUAUUUAAGGAAUUCACUCAGGAUUAUAAUUCGCAUAAUCAUCUACCAGAACAACAUAAUUGACAUACUUCAAACUUAAUCAGGAUCGCCUAGUGAUCCCUUGAUUCAAGUAAUACGACAUUGAAACAAUUAAAACUCGUCUGAAGUAAAUGAAUAUUUAACAAAAACAAUUUUUUCCUCAGUCCAAAUAGUAAUAAACGACUACUUGUCCAUGCAGAAAAAAAAUCUACUGUCAUUGUCCUUAAUAGGAAGAUCCUUUCAAAGAAAAUGACUUGAAAUUUUCACAUUUUCACCAAAAACAAAUUCAAUUUCCCAACUUACCAAAU